AAGGAUUUCUUCGGAAUGAAUUUGAUUAAGUUUAGUGGCGGACGGGUGAGUAACGCGUGAGUAACCUGCCUCUAAGAGGGGAAUAACAUUCUGAAAAGAAUGCUAAUACCGCAUAACAUAUAUUUAUCGCAUGGUAGAUAUAUCAAAGAUUUAUCGCUUAGAGAUGGACUCGCGUCCGAUUAGUUAGUUGGUGAGGUAACGGCUCACCAAGACCGCGAUCGGUAGCCGGACUGAGAGGUUGAACGGCCACAUUGGGACUGAGACACGGCCCAGACUCCUACGGGAGGCAGCAGUGGGGGAUAUUGCGCAAUGGGGGAAACCCUGACGCAGCAACGCCGCGUGAAGGAUGAAGGUCUUCGGAUUGUAAACUUCUUUUAUUAAGGACGAAGAAAGUGACGGUACUUAAUGAAUAAGCUCCGGCUAACUACGUGCCAGCAGCCGCGGUAAUACGUAGGGAGCAAGCGUUGUCCGGAUUUACUGGGUGUAAAGGGUGCGUAGGCGGCUUUGCAAGUCAGAUGUGAAAUCUAUGGGCUCAACCCAUAGCCUGCAUUUGAAACUGCAGAGCUUGAGUGAAGUAGAGGCAGGCGGAAUUCCCCGUGUAGCGGUGAAAUGCGUAGAGAUGGGGAGGAACACCAGUGGCGAAGGCGGCCUGCUGGGCUUU
This 661-nucleotide ribosomal RNA is filed under the name uncultured bacterium. RNAcentral describes it as "bacterial SSU rRNA". It matches the Rfam family "Bacterial small subunit ribosomal RNA", at positions 69 to 737 of the family's 1533-position model. The record is from RNAcentral.